AGUGAUAUCUGGUGAACCAGGUGUCCAGGGAAUUGGACCAUCCCUUCCAAUCCACCGGUGUGGAAAUGUUUGAUUUAGGAACCCACCAACAUGCAGUCCCCAAUGUGGUGGUGCACCAUCUAAUUAGAAGUUGAUGGUUGGUUGAAGGUCAUCCAGUUGUGAUGACACAUGUUCAGUCAAAAGGUCAAAGGUCAACAUUUGCAGUAUUGAUCUCUCAUUGAAUAAAAAUGGAUCAAUGAUUCGACUGCACAUGAUCCACAUUGUGAUUAAAAACUGUGAUAACCACUGAGUACAUAGAACAAAUCUGAUCAACAUAUCUCAUCAAUUGCUUUGGUAAUAUAUUUUUU
Long non-coding RNA from Sphaeramia orbicularis (orbiculate cardinalfish), 347 nucleotides. RefSeq lists it as uncharacterized. The transcript is spliced from 3 exons. The record is from RefSeq and is a predicted model, not a curated record. Lineage: Eukaryota; Metazoa; Chordata; Actinopteri; Kurtiformes; Apogonidae.